This 591-nucleotide ribosomal RNA is filed under the name Papiliotrema laurentii. RNAcentral describes it as "partial large subunit ribosomal RNA". It matches the Rfam family "Eukaryotic large subunit ribosomal RNA", at positions 87 to 667 of the family's 3401-position model. The record is from RNAcentral. Lineage: Eukaryota; Fungi; Basidiomycota; Tremellomycetes; Tremellales; Rhynchogastremaceae.
CGGCGAGUGAACCGGGAAGAGCUCAAAUUUGAAAUCUGGCGUCCUCAGGGCGUCCGAGUUGUAAUCUAUAGAGGCGUUUUCCGUGCCGGACCGUGUCCAAGUUCCUUGGAACAGGAUAUCAAAGAGGGUGACAAUCCCGUACUUGACACGACGACCGGUGCUCUGUGAUACGUCUUCUACGAGUCGAGUUGUUUGGGAAUGCAGCUCAAAAUGGGUGGUGAGUUCCAUCUAAAGCUAAAUAUUGGCGAGAGACCGAUAGCGAACAAGUACCGUGAGGGAAAGAUGAAAAGCACUUUGGAAAGAGAGUUAAACAGUACGUGAAAUUGUUGAAAGGGAAACGAUUGAAGUCAGUCGUGACCGAGAGGCUCAGCCGGUUCUGCCGGUGUAUUCCCCUCGGUCGGGUCAACAUCAGUUUUGUCCGGUGGAUAAGGGCAGUAGGAAGGUGGCACCCUCGGGUGUGUUAUAGCCUGCCGUCGCAUACAUCGGGUGAGACUGAGGAACGCAGCUCGCCUUUAUGGCCGGGGUUCGCCCACGUCCGAGCUUAGGAUGUUGACAUAAUGGCUUUAAACGACCCGUCUUGAAACACGGACC